ACGGGACGCCACCAAGCUCGAUGGAUAGGGGUUCUGAGAGGAAGGUCCCCCACAUUGGAACUGAGACACGGUCCAAACUCCUACGGGAGGCAGCAUG
Molecule: ribosomal RNA, 97 nt
Filed under: uncultured bacterium
Lineage: Bacteria
Description: partial 16S ribosomal RNA
Rfam family: Bacterial small subunit ribosomal RNA
Source: RNAcentral